This 495-nucleotide ribosomal RNA is filed under the name uncultured bacterium. RNAcentral describes it as "partial 16S ribosomal RNA". It matches the Rfam family "Bacterial small subunit ribosomal RNA", at positions 28 to 507 of the family's 1533-position model. The record is from RNAcentral.
GACGAACGCUGGCGGCGUGCCUAAUACAUGCAAGUAGAACGCUGAAGGAGGAGCUUGCUUCUCUGGAUGAGUUGCGAACGGGUGAGUAACGCGUAGGUAACCUGCCUGGUAGCGGGGGAUAACUAUUGGAAACGAUAGCUAAUACCGCAUAAGAGUAGAUGUUGCAUGACAUUUGCUUAAAAGGUGCAAUUGCAUCACUACCAGAUGGACCUGCGUUGUAUUAGCUAGUUGGUGGGGUAACGGCUCACCAAGGCGACGAUACAUAGCCGACCGGAGAGGGGGAUCGGCCACACUGGGACUGAGACACGGCCCAGACUCCUACGGGAGGUAGCAGGAGGGAAUCUUCGGCAAUGGACGGAAGUCUGACCGAGCAACGCCGCGGGAGGGAAGAAGGUUUUCGGAUCGUAAAGCUCGGUUGUAAGAGAAGAACGAGUGUGAGAGUGGAAAGUUCACACUGUGACGGUAUCUUACCAGAAAGGGACGGCUAACUACGUG